This 317-nucleotide unclassified non-coding RNA is filed under the name Nocardia otitidiscaviarum. RNAcentral describes it as "16S-23S ribosomal RNA intergenic spacer region". Lineage: Bacteria; Bacillati; Actinomycetota; Actinomycetes; Mycobacteriales; Nocardiaceae. The record is from RNAcentral.
AAGGAGCAUCUGCGCAGGCGCCUCGAAGAGUCGAGUGUGACUGUGCCAGAGCCGUUUCGGACUCACAUGUAGUCCGGCGGAGCUCAUGGGUGGAACGCUGACAACCUCUCCCGCGUAUGGGGAAAGCCAAGUCUUUUCUCGCGGUUGAUAUGUCGACACACUGUUGGGUCCUGAAAGAACAGACGUUCUUUCCAGGCAAAAACGACGAGGCUGGCUUUCAGUCAUACCGCCGAGAAUUUUCUCGGGCUGGUGCUGGGUAAAAGGUCAGGCUUGUGUGUUGUUUGAGAACUGCACAGUGGACGCGAGCAUCUUUGUUA